Molecule: ribosomal RNA, 429 nt
Filed under: Lysiphlebus fabarum
Lineage: Eukaryota; Metazoa; Arthropoda; Insecta; Hymenoptera; Braconidae
Description: partial large subunit ribosomal RNA
Source: RNAcentral
GUCUAAUCUGCCCAAUGAAAUUUUUAAUGGCUGCAGUAUCAAUAACUGUACAAAGGUAGCAUAAUAAUUAGUUUUUUAAUUGAAAACUAGAACGAAAGAUUAAAUGAAAUAUAAACUUUAUUAAUAAAAUUAAAAUUAAAUUUAAAUUUUAAGUUAAAAUUCUUAAAUAUAAUUAAAAGACGAGAAGACCCUUUAGAAUUUUAUAUUAAUUAAAAUUAAAAUUAAAAUAUUAAUAAUAUAAAUUUUAACUAAUAUUUAAUUGGGGUAAUUUUUUAAUUUUAUAAACUUUAAAAUAAUAAAACAUUAAUUAAUGAACUUAUAAACCUAAAAUUUAGAAUUUUAAAAUAAAUUACCUUAGGGAUAACAGCGUCAUUUUUUUUGAAAGUUCACAUUUAUAAAAAAGAUUGCGACCUGGAUGUUGAAUUAAGA